UGGGGAAUAUUGGGCAAUGGAGGCAACUCUGACCCAGCAACGCCGCGUGAAUGAUGAAGGUCUUCGGAUUGUAAAGUUCUUUAAUGAGGGAAAAAGACAGUGAUGGUACCUCAAGAAUAAGCCACGGCAAACUACGUGCCAGCAGCCGCGGUAAUACGUAGGUGGCAAGCGUUGUCCGGAAUGACUGGGCGUAAAGGGUGCGUAGGCGGUUUUGUAAGUUAGAAGUGAAAUCCCCGGGCUUAACUCGGGAACUACUUCUAAGACUGCAAGGCUUGAGUGAUGGAGAGGUAAAUGGAAUUCCUAGUGUAGCGGUGGAAUGCGUAGAUAUUAGGAGGAACACCAGAGGCGAAGGCGAUUUACUGGACAUUAACUGACGCUGAGGCACGAAAGCGUGGGGAGCAAACA
RNAcentral lists this ribosomal RNA (405 nucleotides) under uncultured bacterium. Its description in RNAcentral is "partial 16S ribosomal RNA". It matches the Rfam family "Bacterial small subunit ribosomal RNA", at positions 355 to 774 of the family's 1533-position model. The record is from RNAcentral.